Molecule: ribosomal RNA, 253 nt
Filed under: uncultured bacterium
Lineage: Bacteria
Description: partial 16S ribosomal RNA
Rfam family: Bacterial small subunit ribosomal RNA
Source: RNAcentral
UACGUAGGGGGCAAGCGUUGUCCGGAAUUAUUGGGCGUAAAGAGCGUGUAGGCGGUCCGGUAAGUCGGCUGUGAAAGCCCAGGGCUCAACCCUGGGAUGCCGGUCGAUACUGCCGGACUAGAGUUCGGAAGAGGCGAGUGGAAUUCCCGGUGUAGCGGUGAAAUGCGCAGAUAUCGGGAGGAACACCUAUGGCGAAGGCAGCUCGCUGGGACGUUACUGACGCUGAGGCGCGAAAGCGUGGGGAGCAAACAGG